RNAcentral lists this ribosomal RNA (654 nucleotides) under Triticum aestivum (bread wheat). RNAcentral describes it as "partial small subunit ribosomal RNA". Lineage: Eukaryota; Viridiplantae; Streptophyta; Magnoliopsida; Poales; Poaceae. The record is from RNAcentral.
AUGUGUGAUGUUAUUUUUAGGAGGCUUUCACAGCUAGACAAGACCUAUUCGAAGGACACUUUGACUAUGUUUUGGAGGAAGUUUUUCGAGCCUGAUUUUGCCACCGCAGUUUUAUCCAAUGCCGAUCCAUUGACCAUCCAGUCGAUCCGUGCAACAUUUACAGAAGAAAACGAGAUUUUCAGCCCAGCCUCUAGUCGGAUGUGGCAUAUACCUGCACUCCUACCGGACGGAUGGGCCGUCUACGCAUUCGACAUGGCCAGGCGAAGGAUUUUAGUGCUAGACCCGGCUGUCGGCCCAUUUGGGUUUAGCAAUCGAAGGAUCAACAUGCACACAUAUGUGUCCGACCUGCUUCACACUGCACUCUUCAGAUGCAUCCAAUCCUUAUAUGAUUCUUGGCACUGCAGUUCCGGAGAAUGGACCCGUGCAUUUCCUAUGAUCAUGUUACAGAACAUUGAAACGGAAGACUAUGGCGUGUGUGCUUCGUUCUUCGCCAGGAAUUAUGAUGGUGACAAACUCCAGAUCCCACUAACUAAAGCGAACCUGGAGAUUCACAUGAACCUGAUGCUCUAUGAGGUUAUGCGCUUGCAAGGCAAUGAAUCUCCAGUACCUUCCGAUGCACUUGAAGCUAUUAAGGGGUCAUUCGUAGCGCUGUAG